Molecule: long non-coding RNA, 310 nt
Filed under: Capsella grandiflora
Lineage: Eukaryota; Viridiplantae; Streptophyta; Magnoliopsida; Brassicales; Brassicaceae
Description: long non-coding RNA (CGRA_LNC001049)
Source: RNAcentral
GAAAGAACUUGGAGGAUGAUGAGCUUGAACCGCCAUUAAAUAAGAUGUAUAGAAAUGUAUGAAGCAUCUACCAUCAGAUAAUAAGGGCAUGCAUGUGUUUGUGUAUGAGAAAAUGAUGGUGAUGAUUUUUUAUAAAAAAAGAAGAAGAAAAAGGAGAAAGAAUGGGAGAAAUAAAUGGGGAAGAUGAGGUUUUAGAGGGGAAGGGACGAAAGAGUACAGACUUGUGUGGGUCUUUUAAAGCUCUCCACAUUGUGUGCAUGAUUCUCAUUAAUGUUACCCAACUCUUUCUUUUCUUUUCUGUAUAAUCUUC